Molecule: long non-coding RNA, 6932 nt
Filed under: Sus scrofa (pig)
Lineage: Eukaryota; Metazoa; Chordata; Mammalia; Artiodactyla; Suidae
Description: lncRNA (ENSSSCG00000063543.1)
Source: RNAcentral
CUCUCAGGAAACUUGGCAUAUGCUUUCUUUUAAUUAGCAAACCAUGGGUUUAAGGUCACCUAGACAAUUGCUCUCUCUCGCUCCCUCAUGGGCAGAACUUGCAUGGGUCUCCUGCAAGCUCCCUCCACAGGUGGAGGAUGCUGUAACGGGACCCUCUCUCAUCUCCCACCUUGUGGUUUGGCUGUGAAUGGAGGAAACAGACAAUAGACAUCCUCCAGCCCGGUGGUUGGUUUGCUUGUUCACAAAACCAGGAUCAGCUGAGGCUUUGCCAACCUUCAGCUUUCUCUUGAACAGCACCAAAGAAAAAAAUCAAGAGAAGCAAAAAGAGAAAGAAGACUUUAUUUAGAAUUCCCAGGCUCACCAUAAAUAGAGUUGUUUUUUUCAAGACCAAACUGCUUAGAUAAUCAGCUCAUGGCACCAUUAUUAAUUUAUAUAUUAGGUGGUUGGUGUCCAUUUCUGGAUGGUUUUCGUGUGAUGAUCAAACAGUCCUACCUCUAAGAGAGACAAAAACCAUUGAAUUGUCCCUGCAUCCCAGCGGCCCCCUUCACUGGCUGGUAAGUCCUUCCAGAGCAUCAGGGCAAAGUCACCAGGGCGGCACUGGCUGCAUGUGGCAUGGGCGGGUCUUUACUCCACCCACCUGCCAAUCACUUUGUGAUUCCUCUGCUCCGCCCUCACCAGCCCUGCUCUGAACUCACCACCUGUGCCUCCCACUUGCAAAGAAAAGCUGGAAACCAAAUGGGAGGCCAGGGAAAUGACUCUUGGCACAAAUAAUUCAUUGAUGCAUUCUUUCAAACCCGGGGUGAAUUUUGGGGUUUUUGGUCAGUGCAUUCAGGCUAUGAAAAUUAUUCAGUUAGGAGUUCCUGCUAUGGCACAAUGGGAUCAGAAGCAUCUCUGGAGUGCGGGCACUCAGGUUCCAUCCCCAGCUGGGCACAGGGGGUUAAGGACCUGCAGCUGCAGCACAGGUUACAACUGCAGCUCAUAUCUGCUCCCUGGCCCGGGAACUCCAUACGCUGUGGGGCAGCCAAAAACGGAAAAAAAAAAAUUUAUCUAAUUAACCCGACCCAGAUAGCACAUUCCUCCCUGUGUGGUGGCUCCCGAGCAUCAUCUGUGGCAUCAGGGGUUGAUGGAAAUAGAAGAUGCCAAUUAUACAGUUUGGGGCAGCGGCCAAACAUCUAUCAAAAGCUGGAAAAUAACCAGCUCUGUGAUUUGCCAGCAAAGCAGGGUUUUGUCACAGCCUCCAGAGGCCAAAGGCUACCAUUUCACUGGCUGCAUCACUGAAAUGUUUCGAUUUAGACAAGGAACGGGCGAGAACCAUAUUCCCUUACUUUGCAGAAGUACCUACAACAGCUGUUUUAAGAUGCUCUUCUAGAAUGGCAGAGAAUGGCAAGCUUCCCUUGUCUCUUGGCCUUUGAAACCUCAAGACGGGCUGGGUUUGGGAGACUGAAAAAUGAGCACAUAUGUGCCUGGCAAUUCCCUUGACACUUGACUUUUUGUUUAUGUGAGUGUGGCAAUGGCGAGGGUUGUUUCAAGAUCUCCAGACAAAAUAGGAGAACGCUGAUAUAUAUACACAAGAUCUGAAACAGCUUUGCUUCCGAUGCCCAGUUCGUCCCUGAUUCAAGCAGCCAGGACACUAACGCUCCCCAGGAGUGAGGGGCAGUGCUUCUGGCCCUGGGGAACAGUGUUACUCCUGGCUCAUCACACUUACCUCUUGCUUCCCUCCCGCUUGGCGCUUCCCUGUAGCUUUGAGUCUCUUCCCAGAGACUUUAUUCUCUCUUCUCCAUUCUUUCAGUGGUUUCCUUUUUGCAUUUGGUCUCUUCUCAACCACCUCUCACAAAUAAAUGGAAAACAACCAAGGAAAAUUCCAGUAGGAAAAAUGAGACAUGUGCUGUUUCUACCUAGCAACACACUCCUGGGACGUGGCAGAGAAAGGUCAGGAAACACCUUUCGUCUCUCUGGGUUCACAAGGAAAGAGCACUGCAUUUUGGAGAGGACCACGUGUGCUCCCAGGUUUAGGACCAGCUGGGCCCUUCUUUCCAGCAGCUGGCCUGUGGAGGCGAGGCUGAGAAGCAGGAGGGGACGGGGGCACCCUUGCUUUGAGGCUAAUUGGAAAGAGCCAUCCCCAGAUCCACCCGUCCCCUGACACCCCAAAGUCCUUUGUGACCAGAGUCACGCACAAAGGCCAGCAGAGCCCUACUGCUCAGAGGUCUCAGAAACAGACCAAUGGAGAGGAAGACAAAGCUGAGAGACUCCCUCAGAAGGGAGAAAAGAGCAGAUGACAUGUGAAAACCUGGACGAAGCUGGAUUUGACAGGAAAGGAAGGAAGUGCUGCAGGGGGGUCAAAGAGCAUGACCUUCAGGGUUACAAACAUGGACGUGAAGCUCAGCCCCAGCAGGCACUGCGACUACGGACUUGGACAAAUCUUUCGUCUGCAAACCAGAGGUAAUCAUCAUCCGCUCAUGUGGCUAAGAUGCGGGAGAACCAGCAUGCGUGUGUGAGAAACUGACAUGACAUGGGGUAUAGAUGAGCCCUUGCUGUGGUUAAAAGAGGGGAGAGAGACAGAGACGGGACAUGCGGGGGAAGUCAGGGCUCUUCUCCAGAAACGGGACCGAACAGGUGCACAGAAGGAAUAAUAUCAAAGAUGCAGUGGAGGAGGGGAGAAGCAUGUUCCCAAACCUGAAAGGAGAAAAAGACCUGAGAGUGCGGUUAGGACAAGAUGGCCAAGGGGAGGCAUCAGUGACAAGAGGUGUCAUCAUAAUAUUUUUGAAAAAAAUCCGAUAAACAUUCAGGCAGAAAAAAAACAGGUUACCUACAGAAGUUCAGAAAUGAAGGCGGCCUCAGUGAAUCAUUAAAUAUCGGAAUCUAUGGAUGGAACCCUUACCAUUGUGAAAAAGGGCAAUUGUACCAUCACAUACCUGCCCAGCUGAGUUUUUUUUCUCAUGGAGAAAAUAGAUAUUCCUGAAUAGGCAAAGGUCAAGACAUUAAUGUACCAUUCUGGCAAAAAUUGCUUUAGCUCUCCUCUAGCCAAUCAAGAAAGGAACUAAUGAAAGGAUAAUUGCAAUAGUUUCUUGGGAUAGACUAAAAGAAGAUACUAUGAGCAAAAGAAUGUAUAUAUGACUGAGCCACUAGGCUGUGCAGCAGAGAUUGACUCAGCACUGUAAAUCAACUGCACCCUAGUAAAAAAUAAAUUUGAUUUAAAAAAAAGGAAAAAAAGACUAAUGGUGAACAAUGAAACCUUCUCAGUAGAGCAUAAACCUACACAUUUGAUAUAAAUUUAGUUUGAAAAUGGCUGAAAAUUUCAAAUUUAAAAGAGAGGGAUAUUGGGGAGAAAAGCCAUUAUUUAAUAAGCUCAAACUUGUCACACCCCAGAUUUUAUUCAUAAAGUCUGGAAUACGGGGUGGGUGUUGUAUUAAAGCAGUAUGAACUCUGGGGACCAUGAAGGCUCCCAUAUUGUGCUUUUACUCCAGUAAUUAGGAAAAUAUAUGUGAAAUAAUAUGUUUAUAACUUAAGAAAUCUCUUGUUAGGUUUAAACUAGGAUGACUUGCAAAUCUUUGCAAAGGACAGGAAGAACGUCAUGCAUUAACAGAAAAUUUAAAACACAAACCUUAACACAGAGCCACGAAAAACAGUCAGUUUUGAAGGCCAAGGGAAAAUAUGCAGAACUGAAUCUGUAUAUUCAGUACUACGUAAAUUGUAAUAUGUGCACAUACACACACGUGGGCAGAUACUAGAGUAACAACUGAGAAGAAGUGGGCCAAGAUAUGUUAGUUACGCUAAGAACAUGUGUUGCUAUUAUAUUUAGAGGAAACACUGUAUCAGCAACAACAGCAAAAGAAGAAGGUGGGGCCAGAUGUGUGGAUAUGUACACAGGACAUCAUGGGGCCAAACCCCUGGGCAACCUGAGGGAGCUGAUGGGCGUGGCAUCUUCCCCACGGCUACUCUGGCAGACCCUCUGCCAAGCCCACCUCUGCUCCCGGCCCCUCCUCUCUUCAUCAGGGAUAAUUUUCAUUGUAGUAGGCACAUAGUUUGGUAGGCGGUGACUGCGUUGGGAAGAUAUAGAUGACUGAGGAAAUGCUUUAUUUCUAUAAAUGUAUCAGACAUGGCAGUUCAAUUAGAGCACCUACUUAAUUUCAGUAACCAUUUUGCAUCAACAAGAAACAUCCGGGUUUACUUAAAAUGGAAAAAAAAUAUAAGCCAAUAUUAAAAAAAUGUAUAUUGACAUAUAUUUGUCCCACCAUCAUUCUGGAUCAAUAUAUAAUUACUGAAGGCUUACGCUGUGCUUCCGAGUGACUGAGGUUUCAGAGGAGAAUAAGUCUUUCUCCUCGUGGAUGUUACCUUCUCCGGGGAGAGACAGGAAAGCAACAAGGAAGGAAAUGCAUGACGGCGGAGUGUUCGUGGGUGUCCCAUACCUUAGGUGGCUUUGUAACCGUCAUAUAUUAUUUCAGAGAGUGUUAACUGCUUUGCAGAAAAAUUAAUCCAGGUUAACGGUGUAGGUAGAAAUGGGGGAGCCGAGGUUCUAGAAGGAGAGAGUUUUUGACGGAGGAUUCAGAGACGGCCGUCCUAUCCCCUCUUCCUCCCCCAGACUGUGAGCAGAGUCUGAGGAACGGUAGGCUAAUAGGUCUGCUUAGCCAAUGUUAUCAAUAUCAUAAAAAUAUCUAUUAUGACUGACACGCUUUAAUAAUUUUUCACGAUUUACCUUAAGGAACAUUUCUCUGGCCCAGAAAGCCUUCAAUUACCACUGAAAUGAAAAUGUCAUAUCAGCAUAGAAAUUAAUUUGACUUUUAUAGGCUCCUAUGGCAAAUGAUGUGUGAACAUGCAGAAGAGGAAUUCUGGUCCCUUGAUUUCUCGGUUCACGGGGAAUCACCAAAUGUCACACUUAGCCACGUUAAUGUGCGAUUUCAGGAAAUUGGGUGCCUGGAAAAUAGACUUGACACUGAAAUCUCACGGAACAAAACCCAACCAUUGAUGGUUCAGAAGCAUGACUCUCACUUGACACUGCCCCCAGAUCAGCAGAUCAUGAGGGAUUAUUUGGUCAACAGCACAGUGAGAGGGUGUGAAUACAGGUGAUCACGUGGGGAGUCUUCCUGGCGGUGGGACAGGGGAAUAGGUCACACAUCCACCACCAGCUGAGAAAUAAGUCCCACAGGAAGUGAGAACAAAGGAGGAAAAAGUUGAUGAGUGGAAACCUGGCAGAAAAAGCCCCAUGAACGCACCCUUGUCAGGCAUUUCCUUCCUUGUUGCUUUUAUAUCUCUCCCAGGAGAAGGGCAGGUCCACGGGGAAAGAGACAUUUUUAUUCUCUUCUGAAACCUCAGUGACUAGAAGCACAAAGUAAGCCUUUGAUAAUUUCACAUAUACGAAAAAAAAAAAGUAUAUACAUGUAUUACUUUUUAGGGCUGCAGUUGCAGCAUAUGGAAGUUCCGGGGGUCGAUUCCGAGCUGUAGCUGCCAGCCUACACCACAGCCGCAGCAACGCAGGAUCUGAGCUGCAUCUGUGACAUGCACCCCAGCUCAGGGCUGAUAAUUAUAUAUUGAUCCAGGAAUAAUGGUUGAACGAAUUUAUGUCAAUAUGCUUUUUUUUUUUUUCCAAAUACUAGCAUGCAUGAUACAUUUGUAAAAAAGAAACAUUUUCUCAGCCAUCUACACCUUCCCAAUGCAUUCAUCUCCUAGCUAAUUAUGUGUCUGCUGGGAUGACACUCAUCCUUAUGAAGAGAUGAGGGACCCAGAGCAGAAGUGAGCUUGGUGGAGGGUCUGCCAACGUAGCCCAUGGUCAAGAUGCCACACCCAUCAGCUCCAUCAGGAUGACCAGGGGUUUGGCCCCCCCACGUGUUCCAAAUACAUGUCCACACAUCUGGCCCCACCUUCUUCUUUGGUUGCUGUUGCUGUUACAGUGUUUUCUCUAAAUAUAAAUGCAACAUAUUUUCUUAUAGAAACCGACAUAUUUGGGCCCAUUUCCCCUCCGUCUUUUUCUAACAUCUCUCCCCGAGGUUAUACAGAUUGUUGACUUUGUGAGCAAGGUUGUCGUUCUCACGGCCCCUGGUCACUGUCCCAGGCUGCAAGGUGGAGGGGCUGAGCUGGCAGAAGAAGGAAGAGGUUUGUGCCCCACUUCUGACCAUGCAAGUCUGAGGUCACCUGUCCUGAUCAUGAGUACUUUUUGUGUUUCCUUCUGCCCACCUGAUGUGAGAGCCAUUGUCAAUCCCUUUUUUUUUCUUUUCUUUUUUUUUUUUUUUUGUCUUUAUAGGGGCCAUUCCCGCAGCAUAUGGAGGUUCCCAGGCCAGGGGUUGAAUUGGAGCUGUUGUUGCCCGCCUACACCACAGCGACAGCAACGCUAGAUCCAAGCCACAUCUUCAACCUACACCACAGCUCACGGCAACACUGGAUCCUCAACCCACUGAGCAAGGCCAGGGAUCGAACCCGCGACCUCAGGGUUCCUAGUUGGAUUCGUUUCCGAUGCGCCAUAAGAGGAACUUCAACCCCCUUUUUUUUAAUGUCUAUUUUGCCCGUGCUAGACCUCUCCCCACCCAUACACCUCCCCCCACCCCACACGUACAUGCACAAGCACACACAUGCAUGUACCUCUCCAAACUUUUUUCAGUAAAGAACAAUUUUAAUUUAAAAUUUUUGCUGUCUGGAUUAACACAUGUGAGUCUGUGUUUUCUUAUUUUCUGUGAUAUUUGCAUUUUAACCCUCACCUUGAAUUUUUUUCUAAAGGAGCUCUACCUCUUAUUUAGGGUUUUCAGAAACUGAUCAGGAAAGGUGCUCUUCCCUGCCCCCACCAUCCAGGGAGUGGGUUAACAAGUAAUAUUUAUCAUUAUCAUCAUCAACACCACUCUAGAGUUUCAAAGCUCUUCUAUAGGCACCAUCCUCUCCAGGAUCCUAAAAUGGUAUCUAUUAGCUGUCAAUCACUUCACCUACUCUUAAGGCUUGCAAUGACUCUU